CUUCUAACGAACUCCUAUGUUGUGAUAAAGUUCUUAAGACUACUUUGAUCGAUAAAGAAAGAUUUAUCACAUAGUCUUUAAAUUGGUUCGCGACUAAACGAUACGCUAUUACUAGGAUGAUAGUGAUAUCAAGUAUAGAUCGUUGUGUGCCAUAUGUGUUGGUUAUCCUCAUAACCAAAUAGUAUGGAGACACUGAUAUGACAUGCA
RNAcentral lists this long non-coding RNA (207 nucleotides) under Elaeis guineensis (African oil palm). RNAcentral's name for it is "long non-coding RNA (EGUI_LNC033383)". Lineage: Eukaryota; Viridiplantae; Streptophyta; Magnoliopsida; Arecales; Arecaceae. The record is from RNAcentral.